Molecule: ribosomal RNA, 404 nt
Filed under: Verrucomicrobiota bacterium
Lineage: Bacteria; Pseudomonadati; Verrucomicrobiota
Description: Verrucomicrobia bacterium partial 16S ribosomal RNA
Rfam family: Bacterial small subunit ribosomal RNA
Source: RNAcentral
UGGGGAAUAUUGCACAAUGGGGGAAACCCUGAUGCAGCGACGCCGCGUGAGCGAUGAAGGCUUUCGAGUCGUAAAGCUCUGUCCUAUGGGAAGAUAAUGACGGUACCAUAGAAGAAAGCCCCGGCUAAUUACGUGCCAGCAGCCGCGGUAAUACGUAAGGGGCGAGCGUUGUCCGGAAUUAUUGGGCGUAAAGAGUGCGUAGGCGGCAAAUUAAGUCAGAUGUGAAAACUAAGGGCUCAACCCAUAGAUUGCAUCUGAAACUGAUAUGCUUGAGUCAAGGGGAGGAAAGUGGAAUUCCUAGUGUCGCGGUGGAAUGCGUAGAUAUUAGGAGGAAUACCGGUGGCGAAGGCGACUUUCUGGACUUGAACUGACGCUGAGGCACGAAAGCGUGGGGAGCAAACAGG